This 1849-nucleotide long non-coding RNA is filed under the name Monodelphis domestica (gray short-tailed opossum). RNAcentral describes it as "lncRNA (ENSMODG00000049644.1)". The record is from RNAcentral. Lineage: Eukaryota; Metazoa; Chordata; Mammalia; Didelphimorphia; Didelphidae.
AAAGCUAAUUCUAAUAGCAGGGUAAAGUGACUUAAAUGCUGGCUCCCAAACUUUGUGAUAGGGCACACUUCUGAAUUUCACUGGUGGUGUCUCUGAUGGUGUGGCGUUAAAAUCCCUGUGUGCUGGCACAUGUCACAGCAAAGAAUAACACUGUGCUGGGAACAAAGCAAACCCCAAACCCUAAGAACCUCCCUUAGACUGUAUUACCGCACUUGAGCCCGCCAGGUCACUAUCUACUAUUGCUCUUCUCCAGAAGAGAAAACAUGGACAUAGCUGAAGUUAGGCAAAAUGAACAGAAAGUAAAUUAUAGAGGAGACACUAGCACCUAAGAGGAGAGGCUGCAUGUAAAAGAUGCCGCUGCAGGGGCAGCGAGCACAAAGGCAUACAGACUUUCCAUUGUGUAUUUUAUUUAAGUAACACCAGAAAGCUUUGAUCAAAUAAAAACCCAGGGAAAGGCAGUGGUGUAUAAUAAUGAAGUCAGGCUGGUGGUCAAGAGAAUAGAGGCCUGGAUUGAGAGUCAAGAAGACCUGAGUUCAAAUUUGGCCUUUCCAUCUUUCUUCAUUUGAUUUCUGUGAAGUCCUAAUUCAGGGAUAUUUUCAUUUUAAUCUCUGUGGUUGAUGAUGAUCUUGGUUUUUCAGGUCAUUGGUGACCCUCUGUAUUUCUGUCUCUAAAAACUAUAUGUUUGCAUCCUUUGACCACUUGUUUUUCCCUGUCUUUUAUAGAGCGACUGCUACAGAGUUAACCGGAACAUUAUCAAGAAUUUCAGCACAAUACAAAAAGUAUUGUUUCUAUGCACGACAAGGUCUCUCCUCCCCCCCCCCCCUUCUUCUUCCUAAAUGUAAUUUUUAAUGAUUUAGGUAAGAUUUAGUUUACCGGCUAUAUUUUCUUAAUUAAAUUGCUAUAGUCCAGGUAAGUUGUUCCUGGAAAGGUCACUGACUGGCAAUUCUGCUAUCUAGAGCAACCUACUUAAAGGUCUUGAUUUUUCUUUAUAUUCCGAGGUUUGGACUUGAGUUGUUUUUUUUUGUUUGUUUGUUUGUUUGCUUUGUUUUGAACUUUGUAAUGAAAUUGGCCUUGGCAAUAUAGUCACAUCACUCCAAUAUUAGGUCUGGUUAUAAAAGGCUUUAUUGUCCGUUGAAUGGCAACUGGGAAGAUUUUUUUAAAGAACUUAUUUGCAUAUCCAGAUAUUGUUAGAACUGCAAAAGUAUUUGUUUGCAGUGGUGCCUCUCCCCAGCAGCUCCUUCUCGCUCUGCUGUCCUUCUUGGUAGGAUCUUUGCUGCUUCCCCCCCCCUUUUCCAUUUAAGGGGGUCGGUGGGGGCGGGGGUGGGGGUCAGUGGGGAGAGCACCACCUUAGGCGGAGUUGCAGGGGUUAAGCUGUAGCUGCAGUGGGAGCGUAGCCCCGCCCCUUCUUUCAGCACCUGGUGCUCUAUAGACAGUUGCCUCAGCAGUAGAUUUCAGAGGGGAUUGGAGGAAAAACAAGAGAGGGGGAGAGAAUGUGACAACUGCCGCUUUGGGUUGCUGCCUUGGGGGGGGGGGAGGCCUCCCGCACCUGUCCCUGCCUGUCUCUCAGCCAGCCCAGUCGCGGAAUCAGACCCAGCCCGGAGCAGGCAUCCCUCAUCUGCCAGACCGGGGAGCGAGCGGUUGCCCCGUAAAGAACAUGACUUCUUCCUUCAAGCUGGAUUUCCUCCCGGAGAUGAUGGUUGAUAGCCGCUUGCUAGUUUCGGAGAGAAUGUAAGUGGAGCUCUGGCCGCCCCUGCCCGAUGCUGCUGCAUCCUCGGAGCGAGCUUUGGUGCCUGUGAGGGGGCAGAGCGUGGGGGGCUGUAAGGGGGGAGGCGGCGGCAUGGGGAGCGUU